GACGAACGCUGGCGGCGUGCUUAACACAUGCAAGUCGAACGGAAAGGCCCUGCUUGCAGGGUACUCGAGUGGCGAACGGGUGAGUAACACGUGGGUGAUCUGCCCUGCACUUCGGGAUAAGCCUGGGAAACUGGGUCUAAUACCGGAUAGGAGCCAUUUUUAGUGUGAUGGUUGGAAAGUUUUUUCGGUGUAGGAUGAGCUCGCGGCCUAUCAGCUUGUUGGUGGGGUAAUGGCCUACCAAGGCGGCGACGGGUAGCCGGCCUGAGAGGGUGGACGGCAACAUUGGGACUGGGAUACGGCCCAGACUCCUACGGGAGGCAGCAGUGGGGAAUAUUGCACAAUGGGCGCAAGCCUGAUGCAGCGACGCCGCGUGGGGGAUGAGGGCCUUCGGGUUGUAAACUCCUUCGCUAGGGACGAAGCUUUUGUGACGGUACCUAGAUAAGAAGCACCGGCUAACUACGUG
Molecule: ribosomal RNA, 463 nt
Filed under: uncultured bacterium
Lineage: Bacteria
Description: partial 16S ribosomal RNA
Rfam family: Bacterial small subunit ribosomal RNA
Source: RNAcentral